AUGCACGCUGGCGGCGUGCCUAAUCCAUGCAAGUCGAGCGAACAGAUAAGGAGCUUGCUCCUUUGACGUUAGCGGCGGACGGGUGAGUAACACGUGGGUAACCUACCUAUAAGACUGGAAUAACUCCGGGAAACCGGGGCUAAUGCCGGAUAACAUUUAGAACCGCAUGGUUCUAAAGUGAAAGAUGGUUUUACUAUCACUUAUAGAUGGACCCGCGCCGUAUUAGCUAGUUGGUAAGGUAACGGCUUACCAAGGCAACGAUACGUAGCCGACCUGAGAGGGUGAUCGGCCACACUGGAACUGAGACACGGUCCAGACUCCUACGGGAGGCAGCAGUAGGGAAUCUUCCGCAAUGGGCGAAAGCCUGACGGAGCAACGCCGCGUGAGUGAUGAAGGUCUUCGGAUCGUAAAACUCUGUUAUUAGGGAAGAACAAAUGUGUAAGUAACUGUGCACGUCUUGACGGUACCUAAUCAGAAAGCCACGGCUAACUACGUG
This 496-nucleotide ribosomal RNA is filed under the name uncultured bacterium. RNAcentral describes it as "partial 16S ribosomal RNA". It matches the Rfam family "Bacterial small subunit ribosomal RNA", at positions 29 to 507 of the family's 1533-position model. The record is from RNAcentral.